GUCACAGCCAGGGACGGAGACAGCGUGGCUUCUUUCGGAGAAAUGAAGAAGCAGGAGUGUUAUUCCUGGCCAGGAUGGGAAACGGUUUGGAAUCUUGGCUCCUAUGCUCACUAGCCAUGUGGUCUGUGGCAAGCCACAUCCUCUCUCUGUGUCUUGACUUACCCAUCUGUAAAAUGGUGGCUCCUCAUAACGCCCACCUCAUAGGGCUGUUGUGAAGAUUGCACGUGCUGAAGAUUCAAAUUCUCAGUACACUGCCAGGCACGUAGGAAGAAUGUUGUUUUAUAGCCCCCGUUUGGGAGUGGGUGGGCAGGAGCACAGACUCUGGGUUCCAAUCCCCAAACUGCCAUCGACUAGUCCAUUUGUGAGCUGGCUGGUAAAUUCACCUCCCUGUGCCUCAAUUUCUUCAUCAGUAAAAUGGGAUAACAAUGGUGCCUUCCUAGUUGGGUUGUUGUGAAGGGUAAAUGAGAUGCCACGUGAAAGUGCAGAGAAGAAGGGCUACCAUAAGGGGUUCCAUGUGGGUGCUGCUGUUAUUAUUGGGUACCUACUGCAUGCUAUGUGCCUGCAUACAGGAGUUGACCUUUGAGACCUGAUCGUUCAUGGCUGUUUCACAGAUGUCGAAGUGGAGGCUCGGCAGGGUUGGAGGUUACCGGAAUCUCCCAGCUGAAAUGGAAGUGCUUGGUGAAGUUUGAGGUGUCUGAGCUGAAGAGCAGCCAGUGACAGGCCUGGGGAUCGUCUGACACAGCCCACUUGACAAGGCCUUGGAAACUUUUGGUCUCUGCAGCAGCAACUGGAUUUCAGCCUGGGCUUCGGACACCUCAGCCUGGGACUGUGCAUCUUGGCCUCUUACCUACUGUGUCUGCGUCAACCUCCCUCACAGCCUGAUGGCCCCUGCGGCAGCCCCACCCCAGUUGUAGGGGCUAAGAAAACUAUGGUUGCAUGAAAGAGCAGAAGUGAGUGGGAGGCAGAAGUGGCGGGGAGAACCAGUCUGGAGAGGUGUUCCGAGAUCUCUAGACCAACCAGUGGAUCCUGAUGCCUCACAUGGUCAGCCUUGUCUAGAGCCCCUUCCAGCAUGGAGGCCAGCCCUCCUGGCAUUCUUCUAAUGACACUGAGCUAUGAGUUA
Non-coding RNA from Chlorocebus sabaeus (green monkey), 1120 nucleotides. The record is from RefSeq and is a predicted model, not a curated record. Lineage: Eukaryota; Metazoa; Chordata; Mammalia; Primates; Cercopithecidae.